UGAGGAAUAUUGGUCAAUGAGCGAGAGCCUGAACCAGCCAAGUAGCGUGAAGGAUGACUGCCCUAUGGGUUGUAAACUUCUUUUAUAAAGGAAUAAAGUCGGGUAUGCAUACCCGUUUGCAUGUACUUUAUGAAUAAGGAUCGGCUAACUCCGUGCCAGCAGCCGCGGUAAUACGGAGGAUCCGAGCGUUAUCCGUAUUUAUUGGGUUUAAAGGGAGCGUAGAUGGAUGUUUAAGUCAGUUGUGAAAGUUUGCGGCUCAACCGUAAAAUUGCAGUUGAUACUGGAUAUCUUGAGUGCAGUUGAGGCAGGCGGAAUUCGUGGUGUAGCGGUGAAAUGCUUAGAUAUCACGAAGAACUCCGAUUGCGAAGGCAGCCUGCUAAGCUGCAACUGACAUUGAGGCGCGAAAGUGUGGGUAUCAAACA
This 422-nucleotide ribosomal RNA is filed under the name uncultured prokaryote. RNAcentral describes it as "bacterial SSU rRNA". It matches the Rfam family "Bacterial small subunit ribosomal RNA", at positions 355 to 774 of the family's 1533-position model. The record is from RNAcentral.